AACGAACGCUGGCGGCAUGCCUUACACAUGCAAGUCGAACGGUAACGGGCCUUCGGGUGCCGACGAGUGGCGAACGGGUGAGUAAUGCAUCGGAACGUACCUUUCAGUGGGGGAUAACGUAGCGAAAGUUACGCUAAUACCGCAUAUUCUGUGAGCAGGAAAGCAGGGGAUCGCAAGACCUUGCGCUUUGGGAGCGGCCGAUGUCGGAUUAGCUAGUUGGUGGGGUAAAAGGCCUACCAAGGCGACGAUCCGUAGCGGGUCUGAGAGGAUGAUCCGCCACACUGGGACUGAGACACGGCCCAGACUCCUACGGGAGGCAGCAGUGGGGAAUUUUGGACCAAUGGGCGCAAGCCUGAUCCAGCCAUGCCGCGUGAGUGAAGAAA
This 383-nucleotide ribosomal RNA is filed under the name uncultured bacterium. Its description in RNAcentral is "bacterial SSU rRNA". It matches the Rfam family "Bacterial small subunit ribosomal RNA", at positions 29 to 413 of the family's 1533-position model. The record is from RNAcentral.